AAAAUCCGUCGAUUUUUUAAAUCNCGAGGGUUCAAGUCCCUCUAUCCCCA
This 50-nucleotide transfer RNA is filed under the name Carex acicularis. Its description in RNAcentral is "partial tRNA-Leu". Lineage: Eukaryota; Viridiplantae; Streptophyta; Magnoliopsida; Poales; Cyperaceae. The record is from RNAcentral.